Molecule: ribosomal RNA, 492 nt
Filed under: uncultured bacterium
Lineage: Bacteria
Description: partial 16S ribosomal RNA
Rfam family: Bacterial small subunit ribosomal RNA
Source: RNAcentral
AGUGAACGCUGGCGGUAGGCCUAACACAUGCAAGUCGAACGGCAGCACAGUAAGAGCUUGCUCUUACGGGUGGCGAGUGGCGGACGGGUGAGGAAUACAUCGGAAUCUACUUUUUCGUGGGGGAUAACGUAGGGAAACUUACGCUAAUACCGCAUACGACCUACGGGUGAAAGCAGGGGAUCUUCGGACCUUGCGCGAUUGAAUGAGCCGAUGUCGGAUUAGCUAGUUGGCGGGGUAAAGGCCCACCAAGGCGACGGUCCGUAGCUGGUCUGAGAGGAUGAUCAGCCACACUGGGACUGAGACACGGUCCAGACUCCUACGGGAGGCAGCAGUGGGGAAUAUUGGACAAUGGGCGCAAGCCUGAUCCAGCCAUACCGCGUGGGUGAAGAAGGCCUUCGGGUUGUAAAGCCCUUUUGUUGGGAAAGAAAAGCAGCAGGUUAAUACCCCGCUGUUCUGACGGUACCCAAAGAAUAAGCACCGGCUAACUUCGUG